This 76-nucleotide transfer RNA is filed under the name Rhodospirillaceae bacterium. RNAcentral describes it as "tRNA-Lys". It matches the Rfam family "tRNA". From Rfam's summary of the family: Transfer RNA (tRNA) molecules are approximately 80 nucleotides in length. Their secondary structure includes four short double-helical elements and three loops (D, anti-codon, and T loops). RNAcentral also lists the same sequence under 4 other names. The record is from RNAcentral. Lineage: Bacteria; Pseudomonadati; Pseudomonadota; Alphaproteobacteria; Rhodospirillales; Rhodospirillaceae.
GGGCGCAUAGCUCAGUUGGCAGAGCAGCUGACUCUUAAUCAGCGGGUCCACGGUUCGAGUCCGUGUGCGCCCACCA